CGGGGGUACCUUCCUCCAUCAAAGACUGGAAGCGUUACUUCUUUUUUGUGAAGAGCCUGGGCUUUCCCCCUCUGACCUGGAGGGCGGAGACUCAGGUUUCGGAUCCACUUCCAGAUCCGCUCCCUGUAGCCGAGCUCAGCCGCCUACUCAGCUCAGACGAGAAGCUGGAGGUGAAAGAGUUCAGCAAUGCCCAACUCUGGGCGGCGGGGCUGAUCCGAGCUAACCCCUCAGAUCCCUCGCCAGAAAUAGGCCGCUCUCGCCAGACGAGCUGACCUCUUGUAAACGACCUGGCCCUCCUUUUCUUUCCUCUCUUUGUUUUAUGCAUCUACUGACCUUCUGGUCUUCUGCUUUUUGCAGUGAAGAGGUUUUCUUCCCUUCUAACCAUCGGAGGAGCCAGCACUCCAGGUGCUACUACCCAGCCCUCCUCAGCCAUUCCAACCAGCUCGGCACCAGUUCCGACGCCUCAGCCAACUCCUGCUCAGUCCGCCAAGGCUGUCGAGGCUGGGAAGAAAAAGAAGAAGAAGACAACUGCCAAGAGGGCAAGAGUGGAGACGACCUCCUCCCCAGUUCAGGAAGAGAGGUCCACGCCCGAACCUGGUCAGGGCGGUCACUACGGCGUGAAUACUGCCGAGGAGCAAGCCCGAGCUGACGCUCCUCCUAACCUGUGGCAACGCCAGAGUUCUACCCUGCUAUUCGACCCACAGACGCGGCUGAUCACGCACCAACACCCAAUGCACUUCUGUCCUCAGUGGAAACUCUCCAUAAACGACCGAGCUCAAUUCCCAGAGGUGGCCAGGGAGCUCGCUCAGGGGGCCAUCCUUCCAAGGGACCACAGCUUGGUCAAGGCCAUGGAGGCGUCUGACCUCCUCGACUAUUAUUACACAGGCGCGGCCCAAGUGAACUUGGUUGGUUCCGAGCUGGCCAAGCGCUAUGAGGGCCUCCUCCCCCUGAUGAGCGAGACGAGGGCGGCCAAUGAGAAACUGCUCAGCCAGAACGAAGCAGCUGUGGCAGAAGCUGAAGGUCUGAGGAAGCAGCUCGCCCAGGCUCACUCUAAUUUUGAACUGGAGCUAAAGAAGAACUCCGACCUGACCUCUCAGCUGCAUGGGGAGCAGAAGAGGAGCGCCGAGCUGUCUGCUCAGGUCGAGGCGGCUAGGACUGAGGGAGCCCAGGAGGGCGUGCGGGCCUUCCUCAGGUCGGAGGAUUUUAGGGGCGACCUGGCCAUCCUGAAUACUCCCGUGCUGCAUCAUGGGUAUUCUCAAGCCCUGGAGGAGGUGCAAAGGCUGGGUUUGCCUGGGUUUGAUUUGGGCAAGUUUCCCAGCUACAACCCCCUGGCUGUGGAGCAGCUCGACCGCCUGGUGGAGGGUUACACGCAUGGACGGAAGUUGGCCGACCUGGUUGCCGAUCCUCAGCUGCCAGUAACCACUCCUGAAACCGAUCAGGAGGAGGAAGAGGGCGAGAACUAGAGUAGGAACUUAGGAUAGGAUCUGAACUGUCAGUAGGCAGUUCGUUUUGUAUGAGCUUUGCUCUUCCUCUGUGCAAUUCCUUUUGUGCGAGCUUGGCUCCCCUUUGUACAGUUUUAUUGAAUGAAAUGAAAAGGCCUUUCCCCUUGCUUCAUUCUUAGUCUUAUUUGCAAAAAUCGUCACAAAGUGCAUCAGGUCGGUCCAAUACCGACCUGAGGAAACUACUCCCUAAUGAUGAAAUAACUUUUUAGCCGAAUACAUUAAUAACAAAAAGGUCUUGACCUUGGGACGAGCUGUCCUCUUAACGAAAAAUCCUCAAGUUGGAAUUGUGCCAGGUUCGCGGGAGCACUUCCCCGCUGAGGUGGGCUAACUUGCAGUGCCCAGCUCGAUCCGCUUCUUUCACCACAUAGGGACCUUCCCAAUUUGGGUCCAGCUUGCUCGCGCCCAGAACCCGACUGACACUAUUCUUUCGUAAGACCAGGUCCCCUGGUUUGAACGACAGAGGUCUCACCCUAGCAUUGUAGUGCCGCGCGAUCUGUCCUUUGUACUUGGCCAUACGUAUGGCUGCCUCCUCCCUUCUUCCUUCCAGCAGAUCCAAAUUAAGGCGCAGCUCAUCUUCAUUGUCCCGAGCUAUGAAAUUCUGAACCCUGCCCGAUGGAAUUCCUAUCUCCGCAGGGAUCACCGCCUCUGCUCCAUAAGUUAGAGCAAAAGGAGUCUCCUGGGUAGCAGUUCGGGGAGUGGUUCGGUAAGCCCACAAUAUGGUUGGCAGCUCGUCCAUCCACCCAGUUCGGGCGAAUUCUAUCCGUGUCUUCAAACCGUGCAGGAUGGUUCUGUUGACGUUUUCGACCUGUCCAUUGGCCUGAGGGUGGCCAACCGAGGUGAAGUGCUGCCGGAUCCCGAGCUCCGAGCACCAGUCUUGAAGAGCGGUGUCAGCGAACUGACGCCCGUUGUCAGAAACCAGGACAUGAGGUAUUCCAAACCGGCAAACGAUGUUUUUCCAAAGGAACUUCUGCACCGACCUGCUGCUAAUGGUGGUAAGGGGCUCGGCCUCCACCCAUUUGGUGAAAUAAUCCACUGCCACUACCACAUGUUCAUAACCCCCAGGAGCUCGGGGAAACGGACCCAACAGGUCGACUCCCCAUUGGAAAAAAGGCCAAGGACUCUGAAGAGGGAUCAUCUCCUGAGUUGGGACGUGAUGGAUCGGCGCAUGCAGCUGACAGGAUUUGCACCGAGCUACCAGGUCGGCUGAAUCCAAGAAGAUGGUCGGCCAGUAAUAUCCAGACAGCAUUCCCUUCUUGGCCAGAAUCCUUGGGCCGACGUGGUUUCCACAUAUGCCCUCGUGCAGCUCCCGCAGGAUGUAGUUUCCUUCCUCCGGAGUGAUACACCUCAGCCAGGGGCGCAGGUAAGAUUUCUUGUAGAGUACCCCAUUCGAGAGCUCAUAUCCCCGCGACCAUGAGGAGGACCCUCCGUGCCUCCGCCCGGCUUGGAGGGAGUUCUCCACUAGCCAAGUACCGCACGAUGGGAUCCAUCCAUGAGCCCAACACUUGAAUAACAGCUGCCUCUACCUGGUCGUAUGCCCGAUUCCUGACAACCUCUACCAGGACUUCUUUGUUCAAUGUACCGACCGAGGUGGAAGCCAGUUUGGACAGAGCAUCCGCUCUCUUAUUUUGGCUUCGCGAGACCUGCUUGAGUGUGAAUACCUUGAACUGAGCUCUCAGCUCAUGCACUUUGGCGACAUACCUCCUUAAGGGCUCUUCCUUAACCUCAUAACGUCCUCCUACCUGAUUCACUAUUAGCUGCGAGUCGCUGUAGACUUCUAUUGACUCGGCCCCCAACUUCCGAGCUAUCAUCAUCCCUGCGAUUAGGGCCUCAUAUUCGGACUCGUUGUUAGAGGCCCUGAAAUCAAACCUCAGGGCGUAGGCCAGCUCAUCCCCCUUGGGGCUAGUCAAGAGAAGCCCUGCUCCACAGCCUUCCUUGCUUGAGGAUCCAUCCACGAAAAGCGUCCAGGUCGGGAUGGUCCGAUCGACCUUGCCCGUGACCUGUUCAGCAUCAACAGCCUCUUUGACCUGCUCGGCCUUGGCUCCCUUUGUGGCCUGUGCGACCUCGGCAAGUCCCUCGGCCUGCUUGGCCUCGACUGCGUCUAUGGUCUGUUCAGCCAUGAAAGCCUUAGCACCCUUUGUGACCUCGGCAGCUUCUCCGACCUGUCCGGCCUCAGCCACGUCUUGGGUCGAUUUGGUACCGGCGGCUUGUACGACCUCGACAGCUCCUCUGGCCUGUUCGGCCUUGGCUGCGCCUCUGGUCAGCUCGGCUGGCGACUGCUCUUGCCCAAAGGAGAUUCCUUCAGCUAUGAAAUCUGCCAAUGCUUGAGCCUUAAUGGCCGUGCGGGGUUGGUAGCUAAGAUCGUAUUCAGACAACUCCACUGCCCACCUUACCAUUCUUCCUGAUGCAUCAGGCUUUGAGAGAAUUUGCUUGAGAGGCUGGUCGGUCAUGACCACCACGGGGUGAGUUUGCAAGUAGGAUCUGAGCUUCCGGGUCGCGUGCACCAGUGCCAAAACAUACCGCUCAAUUGAGGUGUACCUCGGCUCCGCCCCCUGCAAAGCCCGGCUGACAUAGUAUAUGGGCUUCUGGAUUUUGCCUUCUUCCCGAACUAGUACCGCACUGAUCGCCUCCUCCCCAACUGCCAGAUAGAUGAAUAAGACUUCUCCUUGUGCGGGAGAGGUCAAGGCUGGCAAGCGCGCGAUGUGGGCCUUGAGCUCGUCAAAUGCGCGCUGGCACUCUGGAGUCCACUCGAACUGGGGACCUCUCCGCAGGGCCCUGAAGAAGGGGGAACCUCGGACGGCUGACUUCGACAAGAACCUGUUCAGGGCCGCCAUCCUGCCAGCUAGCCGUUGGACCUCUUUUACGUUUCGAGGAGGAGCCAUGUCCAUGAUAGCUUUUACCUUGUCGGGAUUAGCUCUUACCCCGUCCUUGGAUAUCAUGUACCCCAGGAACUUGCCCGACCUGACCCCGAAGGUGCACUUCUUGGGGUUCAGCCGCAUCCGCGAGCUCCGUAGAACGUCAAAGAUCUCUCUGAGGUCCUUGAUGAACUGAUCCUGAGUUCGGCUUUUUACCAGCAUGUCAUCCACGUACACUUCCAUAUUUCGGCCGAUCUGGUUUUUAAACAGCUUGUUGACCAGCCGUUGAUAGGUCGCACCUGCAUUUUUCAACCCAAAUGGCAUGGUGGUAUAACAAUACGUACCGUAUUCGGUGAUGAAGGCAGUUUUCCUGAUCUUCCUCGUCCAGAGCUAUCUGGUGAUAACCUUUGAAAGCAUCCAGAAAGCAGAAGAUCUCGUACCCCGUGGUAGAGUCUACCAACUGGUCGAUACGAGGGAGGGGGUAACAAUCCUUCGGACAGGCCCUGUUCAGGUCGGUGAAGUCUACACACAUCCUCCAGGCCUUAUCCUCCUUUUUGACCAGCACGGGAUUGGCCAACCAGGUCGGAUAGUAGAUCUCCUUCACAAUUUUGGCCUCCAACAGCUUGCCUACCUCUUCUUUGACGACCUCAUUGCGCUCGGGAGCGAAAUUCCUCUUCUUUUGCUUCACUGGCCGGAUGUUUGGAUCAACGUGCAAUCUGUGAACUGUCAGCUCGGGAGGGACUCCGGGCAUGUCAUCAGCACUCCACGCAAAAAUCUCGGCAUAUUCCUCCAGCAGAGACUCCAGGGCUCUCCGUGUCAGCUCGCUCAGUCCAGCUCCGGUCUUUACCCCACGAUCAGGUCGCUUGAGACAGAUGGGCAGUUCGACCAGACUCUCAUCCGUCUCCAACCUUUCCUCCUUUUCAGCAGGCUCCCAGGGCUCCAGACAGGUCGUCUGGGCCACCAGCUUCUCCUUGCCUUUGAGGGUUGCGAUGUAACAGGCCCGAGCCACCUCCGGGUCCCCCAGCACCUCGGCCACCCCAUCAGGCGUUGGGAACUUCAUGCUAAGGUGCAGGGUCGAACAGACAGCCCGGAGUGCGUUUAAGGUAGGUCGUCCCAGUAUCAUAUUGUAGGAGGACGGCUCCUUUACCACCGCGAAGUUCACCGGGACAGUUCGGCACUUGGGCGACUCCCCUACCGUGACCAUGAGGGUUAUCAUUCCUUCUGGCCUGACUGGCGGACCUGCAAAACCUAUCAAGGGAGUUCGAACGGGGAUGAGCUGCUUGUCUUCCAGCUGCAACUCCUUGAAGGUUUUGUAAUACAGCACAUCGAUGGCACUCCCAUUGUCGAUGUACACUUUCUUUACCUUGUAGUUACACAUGAUAACUUCUACCACAAUUGCUUCAUGGUUAUUGGAGGCUAAGGGUACUGCGUCCUCUGGCCCAUAUAUGAUCUCCUCGUACACCUUUAAUCGCUUAUUCGAGCUCUCCCCGCUGGGAGGAGGCCGGUUGUUUCGCCGAGCAGUGUGGCUAUCUCCUCCAGCAGGUCCCCCGCAAUGGUGUUGAUCACUCCGGCUAGGUUCUGGACCCCCUGCUCCGGAGUACGAUCACGGGGACCUCGAGGUCGGUCGUGCGAGCUAGUCGUCCGAUCUCGCUUGAAACCUCCUUGCUUCUGAUCUGCACGCCCGUCACGGACGAACUGCCCAAGAUGACCUCUCCGUAUCAGUUUCUCGAUCUCCCUUUUGAGGUGCCGACAGUCCUCCGUGUCGUGCCCUACGUCCCUGUGGUACGCACAAUACAAGCCCUGGUCGCGCUGAGCUUUAUCACCCCCCAACGGCCGAGGAGGGCGAGAGAUCCCUUGCUGCUCCAUUACAGCCAGAACUCGAGCUCGGGGCGCGGUGAGCGAAGUCCAGGUCUUCUCUUUCUCCCAUGGUUGGCUCCGAGGCAAGCGCUCGGUAUGUUCUUGCGGCCCUGACCUGUCCGUGACUCCCCCAGGUCGGAGCCCUUCCUGCGCUUGUCAUCCCGCAGCCUUUCCUGGACGCCCUUCAACCGAUUGCUUCCUCGGCAUUUGCCUUCUCAUGAGCUCGGUCUAGCAUCUCCCGGACGGACUUGGGAGGUCUCUCUACAAACUCCGUGUACAAUUUCUGCUUGCGCAGCCCAUUGACAAAGGCUGCCAUCACCACACUUGUCAUCUCGGUCACGCACCUGAAGGGAUUCAUUGUUGAAACGCACCAUAUAUUCACGCAAUGACUCCUCAGGCCUUUGAUGAACAGUCAUCAGGUGAGCCGUGGUUUUGGAAUAAGCGCGAGAGGAGACGAACUGGGCCGCGAACAGCCGCGCGAGCUGACUGAACGACCGAACUGACCUGGGGGCAAACCCUGGAACCACUGUCGGGCCUUUCCCUCCAAGAACAUCGGGAAGGUCUUGCACCUAACUGCAUCCGCAGCUGUCUGUAGGCGCAUCUGAGUCAGGAACGCGAACAAGUGAUCCUCCGGAUCUGUGGUCGCGUCGUAGGAUUUCAUGGUUGGUAUUUUGAACUUGGCAGGCAGAGGGUAAUCUUCGAUAUCCGGUACGAAAGGAGAGGCAGUGUACCUAUCCGCCUCCGGAUCCAGCAGGAGAUCCAGUUCAUCCUGGACCUGAUAAUUCUCCUUCCUAUGAGGGUCCUCCAUCCGGGCAGGCCUCAGAACGGGCUCCGGAUGGCUAGUUCGGGAAUUCCUAUGAGAGGGCUCUGGCACCGGGACCUGCUCGCGUGUAACUUCCCUUCGCGCCCUCUUCGACCUGGGGCUUCCAGAUCGGGAUUCCGAACUCCCUGUUCUGCCCGUUUUCCGCACCCGACGCUCCGGGCUGGGAGGGACCCCAGAUUGUCCCUUCACUGCACCAGAUUGUCCAGAUUGUCCCUUCAAGUAGUCACAUAGCCUCAAAAGUAGGCAAGUUCGCGGCAACCGACUGCACCAGUUGUUCCGGCGAGAUCUGCGAGAGCUCGACCCUUGCCUCCCCUGUGUUGGCUUCCUGGUGAACUUGCUGGGGACCGCCCUGUGCGUUCCCCUCAGCACCAUCCACAUUCCUCUGAAUCUAGUUUCGGCAUGUUGUUCGCGAAAAAAGAGAAUACUUGUUUCCCACAGACGGCGCCAAUUGAUGCGACUGCCGAAGUGAAGAUCCGAACUGAGCUGGUUGAGCGUCCGACCUGCACGUGAGCGAGCUGCGGGGCUGAGUCCCCGUAGCAACUCCGACGAUCAAGUCAGAACUAGUUUGUAAGUAAAAAGAGUAGAGUCUGCACUAUGAGUAGCGUACCUUGUGUUUCUUAUGGGUGUGGUAUUUAUAGAACACCAGGUGGUAGUUUCCUGGUAGGACAAGGAGUCCUUAUUGGAGAGGAUAAGCCUCUAGGGCUCCACUACCCAGCUCUGGUAGACGAGGGCUCCGAAGCCCAUCAGGCCAUCCGCCUGGGAGGCGGCGCUCGUCUGGUCCUGCAAGAGGACCUGACCCCUAGACCAGCCCAUCACGUCAGGACUCUUGGGCCGAGCUGACGUGUAUGCGGACCGGGCCGAUGUGCUCAUGGGCUCCACUACAGUUGUCAAUUUGCAUAAUUUUCAGUGCAGCGUAUGGCGCCUCCGGUGGUCCGAUUGGAACACAAGCAGUCGUGAGCUCAGUGGUAGCCAGUUUGGUUUGGUGGGGUUUUCUUUGACUACUGAGAUCACCCACUUUUCCACCGGGCCAAUGCCUUCUUGCGACCCAAAAUAAAACUACCUCAAAAUGGAAUCACCCCCCAUCGAUUACUACUGUUAUCGAUCAAUAAUGUAAACUUCUUGAUUCACAUUCAAAGCAUUUUUUUUAUCACUAGUUUCUAAUAGACGAUUGUUGACUCUAAACUUCAAAAGCAUGGAAUAGUUAAGCCAAUGUAUGUGCACUUAGCAAAUCACUUCGUCUUUAAUCCCAGUUAUUAUGUUUAAGAUCAUUGGACUACCAAGACUCCUUGGUAUUUAAAAAGUCUUGCAUCUCUACAAUUCCAUCAAGGAGAAUGAAAGCAUCAAAUGGUCGUGCUAUCGGAGAACAUUCUUCUUAUAGGCAGGAUCAUAUAAGGUUUAUGUGGAUCUUUUUAUGAACGCUUAAAAUUUUGCUCCUGAAAACAGGAACAAGUUGUUCCUGAAUUUUGAUUAUAAUUAAGAACUUGAUCGAAACUAUAACUCUACUGCGGAGGUCAUUCGGUUCGAGGGAGAGGAGAGAUGAGAGAUGAGAGAAAAAAAAAAAAAAACUGGUCUAGCUGGUGUAAAAGAAUUCAUGUAUUUGUUCUCAUGUUUGCUGAUUAGUUCACAAAUACAAACACAGCAGUGAGCUGGUGGUCACCAUCAAUACAUUAAAGUUUAGUGGGUAUGAGACAAGGGUUCAAACCUAGUCUCCCCUCAAUUUGCCAUAUUAAAAAAGUGGUUCUACUUAAAAAGUCCAAGUUAGUGCGUAAUAGUGCACUUGUCUGGUCCGAUAAUAGGUCGAUCCCCUCCGAAUUAUCCUUGAAUAUCUCCAGAUCUUUCUCCUUCCCCUACUAUAAAAUAAUCUAUUGUAUACAAAAAAAAAAAAAAAAACAAACACAAUAGUGGUCGAAUCGCAAUAUUCAGAUCAAGACAGCUGCCCAAAUCUCACCCUUCCCCCACACUCCCAACACACACACACACACAAAACACCACCACCACCAAAAAAAAAAAAAAGAAGGCUAUAGAUAUUUUAGAGCUUAGAAGACAAAACCCACAAAUUUGUUGUAAGUAUAGAUACUUUACCUUUCUCUUUAGUGCUAAAAUGUCAUUUGAUAUUCUAACAUAGUAAUUGACAGACACCGUAAAUGUGUUAGAAAGGAAAAAAAAAUGAUAAAUGUGUUGGCAAUUUUUUUCAUUCUAGUGUGAGUAAAUCUGACUUAGCUAAGAUACGUGUCUGACAUGUUUCAUCUUUUCCUUCAAGGCGUCGGAUAUUCCAAGUCCAGCUUAACAUUUAAUGCAAGAUAAUCACUAGAAAGUACUAUUUUAUUCUGAGGUGGACAACAGUUAUUAGGCAAGCAAAAGGCAAGAAUUAGAAUAGAGAAGCAAUUCUAGAGCUAGCAGGUGCAGAACAUAUUAUUCCAACUUGGCAAUUUGGGUGCAAGAAUUUGCAAAAUGAUAACUAUUUUCCACAAGUGUUUUUUGCAACUAUAUAGACUAAGUGUGAAAGCCGGGGAUCCACGGCAGCGUGGUCGUCCUCCACGUGGCGAGAGGCAAUUGGCUUUCUGGUGACGUGGCACGAUGUGAGUGGUAGUCAUAUGUGCUUGGUUGCAUCUGAUUUUUUCUCCUCCUUCUUCGUCCCGUCUUUCCUUCCUUUCGCUUCUGUACUGUUUUUUCUUCCGCUUCCUUCUUCUCUAUCCACUCAUCAACUUCUUUUCUACCUACUUCAACUUGCUUCUUUUUCGCCACAUAUUGGUAUUGUUUCCACUUCAAAAUUUGCCUUUGUUACACUUGAGUUUUUCACUUAUUUCUUUUUCAUUCGUCUUUCCUUCCGUUUGUUUUUGCUACUGUGUUGCUUUCUGCCCACUUUUUUUUUUUUCCUUUUCGGCCAUACACUCCCGCUGUUUCCACUCAAAAAUUACUGUGCCUUCACAGUCCUUACACAUCAUUCCCACAUUCUUUCUGUUAUUUCCUUUCUGAGGAUUAGGUGGCUGUGAUGAUGAAACCUAUUGCUUAUCCUCCUUAUUUCUCUAUACAAUCAGGUAAUUGGUAUGUUCAUGCCUAUUUCGCUGUUGUUGCUGCUCCUCAUCGUUGCCGAUUCCACGGUAUCCGGUGAGCUCCCCUGCUCUUUUAUGGACUCAUUUUACUCUUUAUUCCACAUUUCCCCCUUUUCUCGUCUCGAUCGAUCUCUGGUUUUUAUCGUUUACGUUGCCAUAUGGAUAUUUUGCUGUAUACAUGUUAUUGUUUAUCUUGACCUUGUGCUCUUUCUUUACUGCUUAGUUUCCUUUCGAUUGCCUAAGUCACUUCCCUCGACGAUUCUUUUCUGACAGGCUUGCUACAUGUGCAUUAAUAUAGCUAAUUGCCUUUGUUUUGUCAUAAUUUGUGCAUUUGCUUGCUUUGCUUUUGUUGUGAUUUUUCCUUUGUUUCGGAGGCAUUACUUGCUCUGCUCUAUUUUCUCUUUUUGUAUUUCACUUUUGUAUUUCAAAGACUAGAACAAUGGCUUUAUGGAGCCUUGAGCCAUCAUGGUUAUCUUACUUGGGAGGCUCGUAUGAAAGUUUAGUGGCCUCUGUACAAGCGUAAGUCCAUCUAUAAAUUUCUUCUUGUCUUUGAAGUUAUUGUUAGGUUCCAUUUUAAGUUCAAACGAGAUAUGCUUCUUGCAUUCUUGCAUAUUAGCACGAGGCAAUUGAGCCCAAAAUAGCGCAUCGAGAUAUAAAGUCAAGCAAUAUACUCAUUGAUGAUGACUUCGAUGCUAAAUUAUCUAAUUUUGGUCUGGCUAAGUUGCUUGGUGCAGGAAAAGUCAUAUUACAACCAAAGUUAUAGAUUCCUUUGGAUGGGUAUUUAUAUCAGGCAUCCAAUCUCAAUUGAACAAAGUCUUUUUUUCCUUACUGCUUUCUGUUUACAAGCUCUCUAAUUAACCCAAACUUGGCUUUUCUUUUUCUAACAUUCUCUAUUUUUCCCCUUUUUUAACCCAUAUAGAUAUGUAGCAUUUGAAUAUGCAAAUAGUGGCCUCCUAAAUAAGAAGUGUGAUGUUUAUAGCUUUGCGAUUGUGCUUUUGGAAGCCAUUACUGGAAGAGAUCCUGUAGAUUAUGGUUGCUCUGCACCUGAGGUAUGAUAGAUAGCAAUGUUCGAAUAUAUAUACACAUGUUUGUCUAUAAAUAUCAAAAGUUUUGGCUGAAGAAUUGGCAUGCUUUUAUUAAUGAGUAAACUGGAUUGUUUAAAAUUAAAAAUUCAGAUAAAAAUUGUCAUGAAUAAUAUGAAACUGCAAUUCACAAUUUUCAGCCAUAAUCAAUCACAAUCUGUACUUUAUGUACUUUCCCUUCCUCUGUUUUCCAAUGUUUUCUUGAACCUACAGUAUCCAAGUUUGAUAUAGAAGUUUGAAAAUACACAUCAUGAUGAUUGGUUCUGAGUAUAGAAGAUCUUCUCAGCAUUAUGAAAAAGAUUCAUAUCUUUACUAUCUUGAUUUCCAGUCAUUUGCUGUUUGAAAUUGACCAAUUACGAAGACAUCUUGCCACUCAUGUUGAAAUUGACUCUAUGUUUUGAUUUAGAUUUUAUUUUCAUAAUUUCUACGUUCAUAUUAAAGCCUGAAUCCUUUUCAUCUAAUAAUCUGGUUGCAGGGUGUUCAUCCAUGCAGAUAAGAGAAGCAUCAAUCAGUAUCAGUGUCUUUUUCUUGCAAUAGAUUUUUCACUGGCAAGUGUUUCAAAUCUCUGCUACCAGUCAUUUAGGGUGAUAUAGUGUUAUCAUUGGUCAUGGACCAGAUAUUUCAAAAAGUUUUUCCUUACAUAUGAUUGGAUCUUGAAUCUUGAUUUAUGUUUAGAUAGAAAGUGAUGAGGAUACUUUGUGGAAGGCAAAUGUCAAGGAGACAAAAGAAGAAGUUGCAGGUAGAGGAAUGAACUUCAAGAAAUAGUAAACCACUUUAUUGUUAUUACAUUAGAAGUUGAACUUUAAUCACAACCACAAGUUUGUGUUCAAAUGCAUAUAGGCUCGCACUUGUCAUUUGUUGAAAUAGAUUGCAGUAGUUUCAGUUUUGAAUAAGUAACCUCUGCUCAGGAGUAGUUUAAUAAAGUUUUUGAUUUUUGGACAUCUUGGUCCUUAUUGCUUGGUGGCAAAUGCAUAUGAUAGAAUGGGGCUUAGUCACAAGGUUGAUUGGGAGUUAACCUUGGACUAUGAUGCAAAACAUGGCUUCUCUUCCUCUCUCUCAACCAUUGUUAAUUCAAGGGAAGAUUAAAUACUCAUAUGCAUAUUUAUGAGUCUUUAUACAAUAUAGCUGCAUAUCAGUGAGUCAUUGUACAAUAUAUAGAUAUAGGUAGCCAUAGUUAUGCCAUACUGUCUGUAACAUAUGUAUUUAGAUUGGUUAUGCAUAAAAACAUGUGAAAGGUUCGACCCAUCCACAUGAAUCAUUUAGGAAGAUUCUUGUGAAUGAGAUUGAUUCUUUUCUGCAUUACCUUCUCUAGAACACUCCUCUGAAAAACAUAUAUCAUGGAUGCAGGUUAUUGACAUGAAGAGAGAGAGAGAGAGAUGGCUGUUAUUACUUAUAGUGGAUUCUUGUUUCAUACACUAUCCACAUUUGGUAAUGACUGUCACUCUUCAGUCAAGAAAGAAAUCGCUCAGCAGUAAGUUCUCGUGCUAUUAGUAUCUAUCUCCAAAAACUUUAAACUCCAUUUGGAUGAUGUGCUAUUGUUAUAUUUGAUUGUAUUUUGGCGCAAGUAUUGAUCAAAGCUUGUAAGCUGUGAAGCAAAUCGGAUAGUAGACUAUUUAGCUAAUGUAUGGGAUGCUAACAACAGGAUAUGUUUUAUUAUGAUGUUAUGCUCCACCAUUUUUUAGUUGUAGCAAGAUAGCUGUUUGGGGAUUUUAUUCUCGUUUUGUGUCUCGAUAUGAUUGUAUAUUAUUUUAAAGUUCCUUUAUGCAAAAAAAUUAUGAAAACUGCAAAAGCUAAAACUGUAGCUUAUUUUCACUAUUAAAUAAAAUAACAAAAACUGCAAAGAUAUAGAUGCACUUUUAUGUAACUUUUUAUAUUUAAUAUCUGAAUUUAGAUAAUUAAAUAUUUAUGGACAAGAUUGAAAAUUAGACCGCGUGAUACGCGGUGUCAUCCUCCCAGUCUAUUCUAAAGUUGUUAGUAUUUCGUACGAAAUGAAAUCGAAUCUCUGCUUUGGUGGGAUCGUCAUCGUAUUAUGGGAAAAUAAACGAAAAUGCGUUUCGGGCUUGAUGUGACUGCAGUUGGGAAAGUACAUGAAUCCAUGGCCGAAAGGAUAAUAUAUAUAUAUAUAUAAUAUAUAUACUAGUAUAAUUAACAAAAACAUUUCAUCAGCUUCCAGAAGGGGAAGUUUCAGAUUCCUCGAAGACAGAAACACGAGAAGAAGAUACCUUUUUUUUUUUUGUCAAGCACGAGAAGAAGAUACUUGGAGGAAUCUAACUGCAGUUUCCAAGGAAUUCAAUAAGAUUUUUCACGUAAAUUUGUCAGAAGAAUAUGCACAUUUGGAUGUUGAAGGAGGUCAGUAUGAGAAAAGAAAGGUGGCAGUUUAUUUAGAGUGAAGUGACACGUGUAUUCCAGGUGUCAAAAAAGUUAACGAGGAAGCACGCCUCAAAAUGUGAAGCCAAGUGGUGUAACGAAAGGGAGAAGACAUCUUACUUAAAGUCUUGAGGUCAUGCACAUACAAUGGUAAACAAAUACCAACCUACAACAACAAAAGGGUUUGGAAUCUUGGCCGGAUAAGAUAAACACUGAGAAAAGCGAGCAUAGGAGACGCGCCGCCGGGGGAAAAACCCCGUCCUUUCUUGUUUCGGAGCAUUUGCCACCGGAGUCAACUUGAACUUGUCGGCAAAUUGUUAUCAUCCAAUUAUUUACUAUAAUUGCGGACCCAAGCUUCUGCAGGUGUUGUCUAAGGAGUUCUAGUUGUUGGGUUUUAGGGACACUACGCGGCGGAAAAAUAAAAAAUUUUCCCUAAAACCAUCCAGGAAUCACCCUAGAUUUUACGUAUGAUGUAUAAAAAGUAGGGUUAUAGGAUUACCUUAAUCCAAGCAGCGUCUCCCUGCAGCGUUGUUUGAGGAUGGUCAGCCCUUGAGCAGUCCAAUCGUCCUGCCUCUACUGAUAUCCACGCUAGAGCAACCCUGAGUCGUCUCACGAACUAUGUAUUGAAGAGCAAGAAAAAGUUGCUAGCCCUUCUUGCUCUUAUUCGAAAAAUAUGUGACACUCACAGAUUCUCCCUUUUUCUAUUUGUUACCUUCCCUCUCGUAUCUGUAUCUCAGCCAAAAAACUAUUGGAGAGAGAGAGAGGAUACCUGAUAAUAUAUGAUGAUAAGUCUUCUUGUCUGAUUCAAAAUCAAAAGCCUAAGACUUCUCUUCACUCAAGACUCUAUCUAUCAUCAUCUGAUAGAUAAGAGAUAACCAUUUACUCUUAUCUGCUCAAAUAGGCCUGGGAUUAAUUUUCUUUUAAAAUUAAACCCCGAUAAUUACAUAGUUUCAAUCCAGGAUUAAAUCUCUAUUGCGUGUGACCCAAUAGGUCCCGAAUGUAUUGGUAAUAAUUAUGGUUUAAUAAUUAGAUAAAAUAAACGACUUUAUUUUAUCAUAACUUAUAAUAAAUAAUUAAUCCAUAAUUAUAAAUCACGAGCGGUGUCUAGCAACACAUCGUGAUUGCCCAAUUAUUCGGAAUUAGUCAAGGGAAUUUGACCUAACCUUUCCGUGAAAAAUUACCGUGUAAUUAUUAUCCUUUCACCAAAGAUAUCCAAUUAGUCAGGAAUAAGGAAUAAGUGCCAAUUCCCUGAUGACUAAUUAAAUUUUCUAGUUCCCGAAAUUUACCCUUAAUUAGGUUAAAUUGAAGACAUUCUUCAAUUUACCUAAUAGUCGACUUUAGGGUUAAUUUCUCACUAGUGGCCAUCCGGAUAUCAACUCCUUCUAUCAGAGUGGUAAAUCCUAUCUUGAUCACCCAUUUUCUUUACGUGCUUCACACUACAUCCAACUUCUACACUUUAAGGCUCAAAGAGUAACAAGUAAUUAGAGUCAAAAUGUAGCGAUUCACACUCAAGAUACUAUGGUGAUCUCAAGUCGUAGGAUCACUUACACAAUUUUUCACUAGAGAUACACCAUUGGCACUAGAUAGAUAUCCUAACGGGAUCUCUAAACGGAUCACUCCAAUGCAUUUGUACUUUUCAAAUCAUCUACACAUUAGCCUAAGUAUCUUCAUACCAUAGUUGAUGAGAACAACCACUAAUUACAUUAAUUAGAGGCUAACUGUGUACUAGUUUUACCGUACUAAAGAUGUCCUAUUUCAUUAGUACAAAAACUAGGGAAUUUUAAUAAUAUUACUAUAAAUGCGAUUGAUAUCUCAUAGUCACCAACUCUUGUGACUAUCAUCACAUUAGUAAUAUUAUAAGGACUUUAUCGGUUGUAUCUAAUAUUUAACAGAUAAAUAAGAAGUUAUUAAAAUACAAAACAUAUAAUAAGGAAUGUAUAAAAUAAAAACAAAUACAUUGUUUUAGGGCAUACAUUCCAACAAUCUCCCACUUGCACUAAAACACAUUAUCCAUGUUUUUCAUCCCAUAAGAUAAUACAUGACUAUCAUGCUUCUUUUGAGGAAGAACUUUAGUAAGAGGAUCAGCUAUGUUAUCCUCUGUGGAGACUCUCUCUAUCUUUACAUCAUUCCUAGCAACGAUUUCUCUAAUCAAGUGAAAUCUCCUAAGCACAUGUUUGGAUCGCUGAUGAGACCUAGGUUCCUUGGCUUGAGCUAUAGCUCCAUUGUUAUCACAGUACAAAGUGACCGGAUCAACAAUGGUUGGAACCACACCAAGUUCAGUUACGAACUUCUUGAUCCAAACUGCUUCCUUAGCUGCUUCCGCGGCCGCAAUGUACUCAGCCUCUGUUGUAGAAUCUGCUGUGGUGUCUUGUUUGGAACUCUUCCAACAGACAGCACCUCCAUUAAGAGUAAAAAUGAAGCCUGACUGUGAUUUACAAUCAUCCUUAUCUGAUUGAAAACUCGCAUCAGUAUAGCCUUUGAGCUCUAACUCACCCUUUCCAUAUAUUAAGAACAAAUCUUUGGUCCUUCUUAAGUACUUAAGAAUGUUCUUAACGGCUAUCCAAUGACCCUCACCUGGAUUAGCUUGAAAUCUGCUUGUGACACUCAGAGCAUAGGAGACAUCAGGUCUUGUACAUAACAUAGCAUACAUAAUUGAUCCAAUUGCUGAAGCAUAUGGAACAUUGUGCAUCUUAUCAGUCUCAACUUGUGUCUUUGGACACAUGUUUUUAGAAAGGCUUAUACCAUGAGUCAUAGGUAAAUUACCCCUCUUAGACUGAUCCAUGCUAAACCUUUUUAGCACUUUCUCUAUGUAUGUAGAUUGUGAAAGACCCAGUAGCCUUUUAGAUCUAUCCCUAUAGAUCUUAAUGCCUAAUAUAUAGGCCGCUUCUCCUAAAUCUUUCAUGGAAAAGUUCUUCGACAACCAACCCUUUACCGAUUGUAACAUCGGUAUAUUGUUUCCCAUUAUUAAUAUGUCAUCUACAUAUAAAAUAAGGAAAACAAUUGAACUCCCACUAACUUUCUUAUACACACAAGGUUCAUCCGGAUUCUUGAGAAAUCCAAACUCUUUGAUCGUCUCAUCGAAUCGGAUGUUCCAACUCCUAGAUGCUUGCUUAAGUCCAUAAAUAGACUUUUGUAGCUUACAUAUUUGACUAGGAUUUGUAGAUGUAAAGCCUUCAGGUUGUGUCAUAUACACAUCCUCAUGCAAUGUCCCGUUAAGGAACGCGGUCUUUACAUCCAUCUGCCAAAUCUCAUAGUCAUGAUAUGCUGCUAUGGCAAGCAAUAUCCGAAUGGAUUUAAGCAUAGCUACUGGUGAGAAAGUUUCAUCGUAAUCGAUUCCCUCUUUCUGCUUGUAGCCUUUGGCUACCAGUCUAGCUUUAUAGGUAACCACAUUACCAUCCAUGUCAGUCUUCUUCUUGAAGAUCCAUUUACACCCUACAGGUUUUAUCCCUUCAGGUGGAUCAACUAAGGUCCACACCUUAUUGUCAUACAUGGAAUUUAUUUCGGAAUUCAUGGCUUCUAACCAUUUAGAGGAGUCUGGAUUACUUAUUGCCUCUUGGUAGGUAGUAGGUUCGUCAUCUUGAAUGACUAGAACAUCAUUGCUAUGGCUCACAAGAAAUUGGUAUCUCUUGGGAGUUGAGCGUGUUCUUACUGACCUACGAAGCCCUUGUGUAUAACAGCUUCAGUAUCUACCCCAUCAUUAUGUGGUUGAAGCUGUUCUUCAUAGAUCGUUCAAUGUUUGUUGGAUGAUCCUGAAUUUCUUCAAGAUCUAUUCUACUCCCACUGCUUCUUUCUAGAAUGUAUUCUUUCUCUAGAAAAAUAGCAUGUUUUGAGACAAACACUUUUGCUCAAUUGGAUUGUAGAAAUAGUAUCCUAUAGACUCUCUUGGAUACCCUACAAACAAACAUUUGUCAGAUCUAGUUCAAGCUUGUCUGACUCUGCCCUCUUCACAUAAGCUGGGCAGCCCCAAACCUUCAUAUAAGACAGAUUUGGUUUCUUUCCUUUCCAUAUCUCAUAUGGUGUGGAGUCGACAACUUUAGUGGGUACUCUAUUAAGAGUAUAAGAGGCUGCAUCUAAUGCAAAUCCCCAAAACGAUUUUGGGGCACUUGAGUGGCUCAUCAUAGAACGAACCAUAUCCAAUAAGGUUCGGUUUCUCCUUUCAGAUACACCAUUUAACUGUGGUGUACCUGGAGGAGUCCAUUGUGGAACUAUUCCAUUAUCCUUUAAAUAAACUCCAAACUCGUCAUUUAAGUAUUCUCCACCACGAUCAGAUCGUAGUAUCUUAAUACUUUUAUUGGUUUGUUUUUCUACUUCAUUCUUGAAUUCCUUAAACUUUUCAAAGGAUUCAGAUUUGUAUUUCAUUAAAUACACGUAACCAUAUCUCGAAUGGUCAUCUGUGAAGGUGAUGAAGUAUGAAAAACCUCCUCUAGCAGUGAUCGACAUUGGGCCGCAUACAUCAGUAUGUACUAGCCCAAGUAAAUCACUGGCUCGUUCCCCUUUUCCAGUAAAGGGCAUUUUGGUCAUUUUGCCAAGUAAACAAGCUUCGCAUGUAUCAUAUGAUUCAUAAUCAAAUGAAUCCAAGUAUCCAUGUUGGUAUAACUUGGAGAUGCGUUUUUCAUUUACAUGACCAAGCCUACAGUGCCAGAGGUAGGUUUUAUUUAGUUUAUCUGUUCUCAUUCUUUUUCACUCACAUUGAGAAUUUGAUGAUCAAGAUCUAGAAUAUAUAAACCGUUAUUCCAACUUCCAGAACCAUAAAACACACCAUUUUUAGAAAAAGAACAACAUUUAUUCUCCUGGGUUAUCCGAAACCCAUUUAAAUCCAAACAGGAAAUAGAAAUGAUGUUUGUAGUAAGUGCUGGAACACAAUAACAAUUUAAUAAUUCUAAAAUCAAUCCACUGGGUAAAGUGAUAUAAUAAGUCCCUACAGCUAAAGCAACAACUUUUGCUCCAUUGCCCACACGUAGGUGACUUCUCCUUUUCCCAGCUUUCUACUGUCCCUUAGACCCUGCAUAGAUGUGCAAAUGUGAGAACCACAUCCGGUAUCUAAUACCCAAGAGUCUGAUUUGGAAGUAGACACAUUAAUCUCAAUCAUAUAUGUACCUGAUGAUGAAGCUUCAGCAAGCUUCUUUUGCUUCAGGCUCUCCAAGUAUGACUUGCAGUUCCUUUUCCAAUGUCCAGUUUGAUUACAAUGGAAGCAGGUUGCUUUGGACUGGUCCGCCUUUGCCUUUUUGGGCUUUUGGGUGGGCUUGUUUUGGAUUUCUUAAAUCCCUUUUCUUGCCUCUUCCUCUUCUUAGAGGAAGUAACGACAAGCACACCAGUAGAGCCUUUUCCCUUUUUGAUUUCUUUCUCAGCAGUUUUCAGCACAUUCAACAAUUGAGGCAAAGUGUGCUGCAGAUUAUUCAUCUGAUAGUUCAUAACAAACUGUGAGAAAGAAUCUGGCAGAGAUUGGAGCACUAAAUCAACAUUCAGCUCCUGAUCCAUCUUAAAACCUAAUUCGGCCAUUUUUCAAUUAGCCCAAUUAUUUUUAAGACAUGCGGAGCAACAGGUGCUCCCUCUGCCAUCUUGCACCUGAACAAUUCUUUAGAGGUAUCAUAUCUAACCGUCCUUGAUUGUUGUUCAAACAACUCUCUCAGGUGUUGUACAAUAUCAUACGCCCCCAUGUUCAUGUGCUGCUGCUGAAGCUGAGGAGUCAUGGAAGCUAUCAUGAUACAUGAAGCUUCCCUAUUGUCAUCCUUAUGUUUCUUAUAAGCAUUUCUAACAGCAGCAGGUGCAGUAGGUUCAGGCUCUUGAGGCAUUGGACCAUCAAGUACAUACUCAAUUUUCUCAUGAGUGAGAACGAUAAGGACAUUACGAUGCCAAUCAAGAAAGUUCGUGUCGUUGAGUUUGCAAUCAGUAAGAAUAGUACGAAGGCUCAAAUUGUUACUCAUUCUACAACAAAAUGAAAGAUAGAAUUUGUUAGAAAAAUGUUUUGUUUAAUAAAAUCAUAAAAACUUCAAAAUUAUGAUUUUAUUUCCACUAUUUUUCAAAUCAAUUACCCUCUAAAAUUGAAUCGGGAAUUUCUAAAAUUCCAUAGUGGCUAGGAUCCUAUCUUAAUUUAUUUCGACCUUGAGUGUGUCCCAACAAAUCGAAAAUAAUUAUGAAAGGUAGGUACUUUUACCAAUUACAACUUAUUGUAAUUCCUAGAUCAGUUGGGUGUCAACUCUUGACUUUAAAUCUCUAUGGAUCAACCCAACACUUGCCUCUAAAAUUAAUGAUUUUGAGUGAAUCCCAACAAAUCAUAAUUUUAGUUAAAUCAAACCCAUCAUUCUUGAGAACAUUUCUCAUAGCAAAAACACGUAGUAAGUAAGGCAGCCUUGGGUGAAUCCCAACAAGCUAGCACUUAAUAACUACUCUAGUUUUUACUAUAAUGAUGGAAGGCAUUUUAUUGAUUUAAUAUUAUAGUUGAGGGAUUUGUCUCUUUUUCCAAAAAUAUUUUAUAAUUAAAAUUUGGAAAAAUUGCUCAUUUGGUCUCAUCAAUAAACAUGCAUAUAACCAUAUCAAACUUAUAAACAUGAAUUUAAAUCGUGGAUGGUUGUGGAUAUUCCUAAACUAAUUUCCCCGGCCAUUAGGAAAUUAGCAUGACUAAAAUCUUUAAUACCGACGAACCCCUUCGUUGUAGUAUGCCUCCUUUCUUCUUUUCAAAGUUACAAUUUCUAUAUAAAUAAUAUAAAUUCCUAUCAUCUAUUCCUAUCUAUUGUACAUUACAAAUAGUAUAGAAGAAACCCCGAGUUACAUUGGGGGAAUUUAGAUGAGAAAAGAAAUUACAAUUAGAAAAUAAGAAAGGCAGGACACGCAGGCCCUAUUUUAAAAUUAAUUACAACCAUUCAAACCUAGAAUGAUUGUAACCUUCCAAAAUACCACAAUCAUAUUGCGUACUAUAUCCACAACCAUCCACCAUGCAUUUUCACGAUUUAAACAACUUUAAAUAAAAGAAAAGCAUGUAAAAUAAGCAAUCUCAAUUCAUGGAUUAAUUGGAUUUAAUUCCUAAGGUCCCAAACAAAUUUUGGGUCCAUGCAUACGCAAGAAAUAUUGGUAAAAUUAAAUUUUAUUAGGUCAACUUUAUCCUCAACUAAUUUGAGGAAAGAAUGGGAAAAUAAUUCAAAUUAAUCAAUUAGUUCUAAAUUAAUUCCCAACCUAUAAUAUAUGAAAUAAAUGAUUCCAUAAUACAUUUUAACAAUUAAAAUGGGAUUUAAUUCAGAAGAUUGCCAAAAGUUCAAAACUUCAAGUUUUAGAAAAAAAAUUUUAGUUUCCUAACCACUCUUGCAAUCGUUUUCUAGAAUCACUGGCUACCACCACUGGCCACCAUUUCUACUGUCACCAUUACUGGGUUCUGCACUUAUCACCAGUGGCAACGGCUCCCAGCAGUAGCUCCCAGGUGGUCGCAACAAUGGAGCUCAGCUACAGCAGCAACCUGCUGCAACUUUUCCUUGCAUAGGUUGCUGCUGCAAUUUGCAGCAGUUUUGAUGCAUUCUCAUGCCUUAAAAGCUCUUGGUUUGCUUACCUAGCAACCACCAAGAGCUAUAGCAACUUUCCACUACCACCAAGGAAGCCUCCCAUGGCCUCACAUAGCAGCGGCAGCAAGCGGCAGCCUUUGGAAGAUCGCUGGCAGCAAUCACUCGCAUGACCUUGCGGCUCCCAUGGCCUGCUGCUGCUUUUGGUCGCCUGUUUGCUGGACAGCGGAGCUACCACCGCAACAGCCACCACCACUGGAGUCUCCACUGACCACCAGUGGCAGCGGCUCCUGGUAGCAGCCAUCGGAGGUCAUGGGCAGCAACCGUGAGGAGGCUGCUGUGCCCUGGCGAUGUCCACAGCAAAUCUGCUGCGCUUUUGUCCCAGAGAGCUCAUAGCUCUGUUACCCAGCAACCACCACCAGGCGUGCAUCUCCUACUGCCACCAUGGAAAAACCACCAUGGUCUCUCAUGGCAGCUGCAACUGGCGGCAGCCCUUGCAGCCGCAACAUCGCAGCAGCCGCAGGUUUGUAGAUGCAAACCUGCUAUAUCGUUUUUUUUUUUUUUUUUCAAUGAUCAUCUUGCAACUUUUGCAGAUGAUAAACUUACAUCCACAAGCGAGGCAAAUCCACGGAAAGGAAAAAAAACAUAAUAGCUCCAUCCGAGCUUCCAUAAGAGCAGACGUACGUAGCUUCAAAAGCUUCGUAAGAAAACCUUUCCUUUUUUUAAAAAAAAAAAAAACAAAAAGAAAAACAAUUCUCCAAUAAUUCCGCAUAUUCAAUUAAAUCCAAUUAGGAAUAUUAAUCCUAUUAAUCCAUGAAUCCAAAAUUGCCUAAAUCAUACGUAAAAUUCUUAGGGAUGGCUCUGAUACCACUGUUGGGUUUUAGGGACACUACGCGGCGGAAAAAUAAAAAAUUUUCCCUAAAACCAUCCAGGAAUCACCCUAGAUUUUACGUAUGAUGUAUAAAAAGUAGGGUUAUAGGAUUACCUUAAUCCAAGCAGCGUCUCCCUGCAGCGUUGUUUGAGGAUGGUCAGCCCUUGAGCAGUCCAAUCGUCCUGCCUCUACUGAUAUCCACGCUAGAGCAACCCUGAGUCGUCUCACGAACUAUGUAUUGAAUAACAAGAAAAAGUUGCUAGCCCUUCUUGCUCUUAUUCGAAAAAAAUAUGUGACACUCACAGAUUCUCCCUUUUUCUAUUUGUUACCUUCACCCUCUCGUAUCUGUAUCUCAGCCAAAAAACUAUUGGAGAGAGAGAGAGAGGGAUACCUGAUAAUAUAUGAUGAUAAGUCUCCUUGUCUGAUUCAAAAUCAAAAGCCUAAGACUUCUCUUCACUCAAGACUCUAUCUAUCAUCAUCUGAUAGAUAAGAGAUAACCAUUUACUCUUAUCUGCUCAAAUAGGCCUGGGAUUAAUUUUCUUUUAAAAUUAAACCCCAAUAAUUCACAUAGUUUCAAUCCAAGAUUAAAUCUCUAUUGCGUGUGACCCAAUAGGUCCCGAAUGUAUUGGUAAUAAUUAUGGUUUAAUAAUUAGAUAAAAUAAACGACUUUAUUUUAUCAUAACUUAUAAUAAAUAAUUAAUCCAUAAUUAUAAAUCACGAGCGGUGUCUAGCAACACAUCGUGAUUGCCCAAUUAUUCAGAAUUAGUCAAGGGAAUUUGACCUAACCUUUCUGUGAAAAAUUACCGUGUAAUUAUUAUCCUUUCACCAAAGAUAUCCAAUUAGUCAGGAAUAAGGAAUAGGUGCCAAUUCCCUGAUGACUAAUUAAAUUUUCUAGUUCCCGAAAUUUACCCUUAAUUAGGUUAAAUUGAAGACAUUCUUCAAUUUACCUAACAGUCGACUUUAGGGUUAAUUUCUCACUAGUGGCCAUCCGGAUAUCAACUCCUUCUAUCAGAGUGGUAAAUCCUAUCUUGAUCACCCAUUUUCUUUACGUGCUUCACACUACAUCCAACUUCUACACUUUAAGCCACUCUCAAAGAGUAACAAGUAAUUAGAGUCAAAAUGUAGUGAUUCCCACUCAAGAUUCUAUGGUGAUCUCAAGUCGCAGGAUCACUUACACAAUUUUUCACUAGAGAUACACCAUUGGCACUAGAUAGAUAUCCUAACGGGAUCUCUAAACGGAUCACUCCAAUGCAUUUGUACUUUUCAAAUCAUCUACACAUUAGCCUAAGUAUCUUCAUACCAUAGUUGAUGAGAACAACCACUAAUUACAUUAAUUAGAGGCUAACUGUGUACUAGUUUUACCGUACUAAAGAUGUCCUAUUUCAUUAGUACAAAAACUAGGGAAUUUUAAUAAUAUUACUAUAAAUGCGAUUGAUAUCUCAUAGUCACCAACUCUUGUGACUAUCAUCACAUUAGUAAUAUUAUAAGGACUUAUCGGUUGUAUCUAAUAUUUAACAGAUAAAUAAGAAGUUAUUAAAAUACAAAAUAUAUAAUAAGGAAUGUAUAAAAUAAAAACAAAUACAUUGUUUUAGGGCAUACAUUCCAACACUAGUCUCCUUCCCUAAUUUCUACAAGUCAUGGAAAUAAAUCGAGUAGUACUCUAUUAGUUUUCAAUAACGUGUCAAUUGUUUGGUAUCAGAAGCAUUAUUGUUCUCUAUUAGGAAAAGUUCAUAAUGAAAUGUGUACUUAUGGGGUCAUCAUCAUGAUGAAAUCGGAGUCGCUUUGUAGCAUGAUAUUUACAUGAAGAAGCGUAGGUGAAAUCAAGAGAAAGAUUAGGAUUCGAGAAGACGGGUGCCUACGAAAUUUUCGUGAGAAGCUCAACUUGUUCGCUUAGAAUUGGACAUUCACAUGGAUUAUUCACAGUUUCAAUUUCAAUCUCAGACAAAUCGACAAGAAUCCUAGGUUCCAGAAAUAUGCUCGAAAGACGUGCAAACUUCACAAAAACUUUCACUCUCAUGAACUUCUCCAAAUGGCCAUCUUACCAAUAUCAUCAAGAUGAAAUUUUUCGAAAACUAUAUGCCUAAAAGACUGCUAAUUCAAACCCAUGGGAUCAUCCUGCAGUAAACACUACUACUUACCAAAAAUUUCCUCAAUUAUGAUUAUACUUAAUUUUAGUUGACUUGACUAAGUUCUAAAUUUUUUGACAGCCCAACAAAGUCCUAGUACACCUCUUGACCAAUGGAGAAAAAAAUGGAGAUCCAAAAGUAGAAAGCAAGUAGUGCUGCAUUAAGUACAAAGGAUAAACGCAAGAAAUGACCAUGAGUGAGAGAGAGAGAGCAUUUAAUGCAUUCUGCAACUUCUUGCGUACACAGCAUUUGCCUGUUUACCUGACUGACCGACCGACUGACUGACAUUUGUAUGUCCUCCACUCCCUACCUACAUUCCCUGCUUCCUUCACUUCCUCACUCUUUUUAUCUUUAGCAAGUCUUCUUCACUCUCUUCCUAUCAGCUUUCCUGCUCUUCUGAUUCAUUCUCUUUAAAUUGAUUGCCCUUUCCCUUUCAUUUGCUCACAACUCUUGAAAAUUUCCUUAUACAAUCUUUUCUGAGUCCAGCUACCAAUGAACUCACCACUCCACCAAGAAUCUGUAGAGAAUGGAAGUCCUAAGCAGGUAAUACCAAUUCCCCUGUUUUCUGAAUUUGGCCAUUUAAUUCUUCCAUUUGUAAGAGUCACUCCACCAAUAACCAAAAGGGUUCACUACAAUUUGCUGAGAAUGACUUGUCAUUGUCCACAGCAUUGACGGAGGUCGGUGAAUGACCCACUGUUAGAUUUUCUAGUGGAAAGCCGACGAUAAAGUGUGUAGCUUUUUUUUGUUCUAUGGCAAAUUUUGCUGCAAGGACACAGCUUGCAUCAAUAAUAUUAGUAGGACAAGAAUGUGAUGAUGCAUUUUUGGUGCCUUAGAAUUGGGGAUGGGGCAUUAUGUAUGUUCUGAGUGGUAUUAUGACCAUUCUGCCUUUCCAAAAAUGCAAGCUUUGCAAAUAGAGUGUUUUUUGCCAGUUCAGCUGAAGUUGUCAAUAUAAGUGAAGUCAAGGCUGAAUGAGUGAGGCCGGAUAUUAUGGUUUUUUCAUAGUACAUUAUAUGGCUGGUGAGUUUUUUUUUUUUUCCCGCUUAUAUUUCCUUUAAAUGAUGAUGCCCAUAUCAGAUGAAGUGAAUUACCUCAAUCUUCAAGUACCAAGGAGUGAGGACGUGGAAGUUGCAAUAAAUUUCUGUUGGAUUCGUGAAUGAUGGGGGAUGACCAUUUGAAAAACUAGAAAUUUAUCUCCUCUUUCCACUGGAAAUUAAUUCAUGGACUUCAUCAGAAGAGAAGGACAUUGGCUUUCGUCUACAAAAGAUUUUUUUUGCUUUUAAAUUUGUGGGUUUAACAUUUUUUGAACUUGGUCCAACCUUUUCUGUGUCCUGAAUCAGAACUUGGAAAGGCAUCAUGCAUUUCUGCACUCACAUUGGCUUAUCAGAGCCUUGGAGUUGUUUAUGGUGAUCUCAGUACUUCUCCUCUCUAUGUUUACAAGACCACAUUUUCUGGAAAGCUUAGGGUUCAUGAGGAUGAUGAGGAGAUUUAUGGGUGCUGUCCUUCAUCUUCUGGACGUUUACCCUUAUUGCUCUUUGCAAAUACAUAAUCAUUGUCAUGUCUGCUGAUGAUAAUGGAGAAGGUAUAGUUUGUCAUCCUCUCUGGUCCUUUUUUAUGAGAUUCUUUAGAGAUUCAAGUAAACAAAAAAACUUACUACAACCUAAAAAUUUGGCUUACAUAAUCAAAGUAGUAUCAAUUAUUUAGGAAUCUGAAUAAGAAACUUAUUUACUAGAGAAUUUUGUUCUUGAGCUAUUACUGUCAUGAACAAGUUCGAAUGUGUUUUGCAACUAAAGCGUUAUCCUAUUCUCCUUUCCUAUUGUUAGAGCUUCGAGACCAUUUCAGUUGGAUAUUGUCCGUCUCGCAUAUUUCUAUUAGCCCAAACAUUUCCACGUUCCAUUUUGUAUAUGCUUUGGAGGCCCAAGUGUCUGUACACUUUCAUUUUGACCCUAUAGAGAUGAUGCCUGCAUUACCUUUUCGUGACUUUUUCUUUGGUGCAGGAGGCACUUUUGCAUUAUACUCUCUACUGUGCAGACAUGCAAGACUUAGUGUUCUUCCCAAUCAACAAGAUUCGGAUAAGAAAUUGUCCUCUUACGCAACAGAAGGGUCAGCAGACACUUGGGAUAGCGCUUUUUUGAAGUCUUUUGCUGAGAAGCACCAAAAGUUUCGGAAUAUACUCUUGAUCUUUGUUCUUCUGGGGACUUGUAUGGCCAUUGGUGAUGGCAUAUUUACUCCUGCAAUAUCAGGUAACUUGUUGUAGGCUCCAGAAUACAGUCUCAUAAGUUGUUAACUGGUGGAAUUGGUAGUGAACAGACAUUUUCUAUAUCCAACACCUGAAAGCGAACUGUAGCCUUAGAUGUCUCAAUAUUACCCAUCAUCUUUUCCUACAGAAUGUUGUUUCUUUUUUCAGAUUGUAGCUAUCGUAAAUAAAGUUGUGAUACAUUUUUAUUUUCAGUUCUUUCAGCUGUUUCGGGCGUUAAAAUUAAAGCCUCAGAACUUCAUGAGAGUGAGUCAUUCUCAAUAUGUUAAUUUGUAGAUCUUUCUAGGGGUUCAAUCAAAUUUGAACUUUCUUUUUGUCCAUUCUCACUACUCUAUCUCGUGCAAUAUAUUGAUUCCAGAUUAUGUUGUGGUGAUCUCCUGCGUCAUUCUGGUGGUACUAUUUUAUAUUCAACAUCAUGGAACAAGUAGGGUUGCUUUUUUAUUUGCUCCAAUUGUUAUAGCAUGGCUGCUCUGCAUCAGCAGCAUUGGUAUGUAAUAACAUAAUCAGGUGGAACCCACACAUAUAUCAAGCUCUAUCUCCAAUUUACAUGUUGAAAUUUCUAAAAGAAACAGGCUGGAAGGUUGGGUGUCUUUAGGAGGAGUAGUUCUCUCAAUUACAGGUAUUCCCUUCACUCUUCUGAUAUACUCUUUCUGGUUGGAAAACUUCAUUAAGACUUCACAUUACUGAAUUCUUUUCACAGGCGUGGAGACAAUGUUUGCUGUCCUGGGCCAUUUUUCGGCAUUGUCAAUUAAGGUAAACUAUUAGUCUGAGGACUCUGCUUUCUGUGACUGCCAAUUUGAGAACAAGAAGGCAAUCAUAACAUUUUCUAAUUUAAAAUUUUGAAUAAACCUGCAGGUGGCCUUUAUAUUUCUCGUAUAUCCAUGUCUGAUUCUUGCAUAUUUGGGUGAGGCUGCAUAUCUCUCUCAGCAUCAUCACGAUAUUGAAAGCAGCUUCUACAAAGCCAUACCAGGCAAGAUGUUUAUGAGGGCUUCCAUGUAACUGGCUAUAUUUCUCUGUUGUGUCUUCUAAUUAUGCUACUGAUCUAUGUACAGAACCCGUGUUUUGGCCAGUGUUUAUAGUGGCCACAUUAGCAGCAGUUGUGGGAAGUCAAGCAGUAAUAUCUGCUACCUUCUCCAUUGUAAGCCAGUGCUGUGCGUUACAUUGUUUUCCGCGUGUGAAGAUUGUCCAUACAUCAAGUAAAAUAUAUGGUCAGAUCUACAUUCCGGAAAUCAAUUGGAUAUUAAUGUGCCUGUGUUUAAUUGUGACAAUCAUAUUGAGAGACACAAACAGGAUCGGACAUGCUUAUGGUAUAAACUUUGACCAUAAAUGCUUAAGUGUCACAUGUAAACCAUUUAUGUCCAGACUGACCAUAGUCUUUCAUGUCCUUCCUCUGUGUUUUGGCAGGACUGUCGGUAACAUCUGUUAUGUUUAUAACAACAUGUUUGAUGACCCUGGUGAUGGUAAUAGUAUGGAAGCAAAAGGCUGUAGUGGCUGCUUCCUUCUUAGUAAUUUUUGGGUCGAUAGAGCUCCUGUACCUGUCAGCAGUCUUCUUUAAGGUCCUGGAUGGUGGUUGGAUUUCACUACUUCUGUCGUGGACUAUCAUGGCCACAAUGUUCAUCUGGAACUAUGGAUCCCUCAAGAAGCACCAGUUUGAUUUGGAGAACAAGGUCUCAAUGGACAGGAUAUUGGCUUCAGGACCUAGUCUCGGAAUGGUUCGAGUUCCUGGGAUUGGGCUUAUUUACACCAAUCUAGUGACAGGCAUACCAGCCAUUUUUGGGCACUUUGUGACAAACUUGCCUGCUUUUCAUCAAGUGCUAGUUUUUGUAUGCGUAAAGUCUGUUCAAGUUCCCUAUAUCAGGGAGAAGGAACGGUUUCUAGUAACCAGGAUAUAUCCAGAAGACUAUGGUAUGUACAGGUGCGUCAUCAGAUACGGCUACAAAGACCUACAACAGGAAAACUAUGAUUUUGAGAACAGACUGGUGUCCGAAAUUGUUAACUUCAUAGAAACGGAAGGAGAAAAUGAGCCAACACUAAGGAUGCAAAUUUGCACAUGUUCUGGAAACUCUGAUGAUGAAGCCGUCGAUGUUUCUGAGCAGAUGCUCUCCUAUCCAAAUCAGGGAGAGACAACGAUGCAGUCUAAAAAUAUCGGAGUGUUGAUUUCACAAGAUGGACAUUGCAAAAGACCUCACCUGAAGGAGGAAUCAGUACACAUACUGAGAGCUAGGGAAGCUGGCAUGGCUUACAUCCUGGGGCAUUCUUAUGCCAGGGCAAAGAAAUCAUCUUCGAUUUUCAAGAAAGUAGCCAUUAACGUAAUUUAUGCUUUCUUAAGCAGGAAUACUAGGCGACCUGAGGUGGUGCUGAAUGUGCCUCCUACAUCAUUGUUGGAAGUGGGUAUGAUUUACCAUGUCUAAUUUCUGACAGAAUCUGCAGAGAGAAGCGUCAGGAUAUGCUACAUUGCGACUGACUUUUGUGAUGGAAGCUGGUGAACAAACAAAAUGUUACCCGAGUUGAAGUUUCCUCAUCUAUGAUGAGCUUCAGGUUAAAAAUUUAGCAGUGCUAAAUGUACUCUGUAUAUACAAGUGCCAGAACAUGAUAAAAAAAGCAGUAGAUAUACAUUUGAAUACACAAAUUUUCGUAUCUUUUUGGGGUUUGACCACCGAUUGUCAAAAAAGAAAUAAAACUGAUAAUUCUCGUCAUAAGGUUGGAAGCUCGGCCGCAUAAUUAUAUCCAAAAUUUGUUGAGCGAUUCAAAACUAAAACCACUGACCAUAUGGUCUUUUGUACUUCAUUGUGCAUAGUCUUGUAUAUCUCAUUAGUGCAGGUGCCCAUGUUUGCUCAUAAAAAACAAACUAAACCCUUAAUGGGUAAGAUCUAAAUUUAAAUUUGGUGGUCCAUUUUGGACAGAACCAGCAAAUCUGGUUUAUAAGCUAUUCAUCCAUUAUUAAAGACCUGAAGAAAUCAAUAAUGAUUUGUGUGCGUCAAAUUGUUUCAUGCGGUGAUUCUCACUUCAUGAUCAGCCACAACCCCCCAACAAAAACACUUUGCACCAAAAAAUUCGAAAAACAUUAUUUGUGUGCCUUUCGAAUUGCAUAGCCAAAGGCCCCAUCUCUUAACACAGAUGACAGAGUUGUCAUCAUCAGGGCCAACGCAGACAAAUGCAACAGUGAAUUAGUAAAAAAGAUCUAAAAUGUCAGUCGCACUCAUUUGGUUGGCUACAUUCAAUUCAAUGUGGCUUUCAAUUAAGAACAGACGAGCAGCGGCCGAUUCCCUGCAAGAUCUCAAUAAAUUAAACCCAAGAAACUCAUUUGGUUGGUUGAACUUGAAAGUUCAAACUCGGAAACCCAAACAAUUUCUUUGACUGAUCAAUUGUGACGGACGGCCGGAGCUUCCCUUGGACCCAAGGCAAGUAACACCUACUACUAUUUAUUUGAUAAAAAUCAGUGCUAGGAAGACUUUUUUGAGUCAAGGUCCUCAACACUCCCACUACGCGGACUUGGUAAUCUGAUCUGAUACAUUACAUUACACGGCUGAUUUUCUUUCCCAACAGCUGGGCAUCACUUGGAGCAGCUGUCAUGAAUUCAAGCGAAGUAGCAGCACGUUUUCUUGCAGAAAGGACCUUGGUUCUUUCCCAGUAUUAUCAAGCGCAUUCUUCUUUCAAUAUAAAUUGACGACAUUAUAGCUACUUUCAAGUGGCAUAUGGUAACUUAAAUUGCUUGAUUUCUCCACUUAAUCAUGAGUUUUUUUUGAUUAUGUAUUCUUCUUCAACCACCAAAGAAAGUGAGUGAGUGAGUGAACGUUAAAAUCAUUAUAGAUUCGGUCGGUGUAAAUAUAAGCCACAACUCCUCAUUGAUCGAUUGAAGGGAAUCAAUCAAUGCAGAUUUAAGUAAAAAUUAAGUUAAGAUUUGGGCGUAGCCUGUAGGAAAUAAUAGGGGCUACACUUUUUCUUAAUUUCCCCUCCUCCGUCAGCAUCAGUCACAAUACACGCGCCCCUUUGUUUACCAUGCUUUUCGACUUCUUCACCUAGCCAGCUUCACAAGCAAAGAAUAACUCCCGAUAUUGAAGACUUCAAGUGGCAGACAUGUCACAAAUUUUUCCACAUGGACUUUUGAAAUGCAACACCACACACACACACACAAAGAAAAAAGGAAAAAAGAAAAAAGACUACUGCUGUUCUUCCAAACAAAUGAUUUAGAUCCCCCCCCCCCAAUCCAUAGUUCAUCGAGUUUUGUACGUGUGUCUAGACUUAAAUCAUGCGGUUGCUCUUUUGCAAUCAAGAAAAAAUUUCGUCGGUUGCACCCCGUUGAGGUUUAAUUAAUGAUCCAGACUAAUUAUUGCUGACUCUUGCGAGUAAAUCAAGUAGUAGAAUUUAAACAUCAGAAUAAUUUAUACCCCACGCGCGGUCGCGGUGUUGAUCUCACUGUUGGAGUUUCAUUGCCUCUCUACCCUCCCUCACAAGUCAUGGCCAAGACCACAUGAAAUAUUGGGCAGAGAAAAAGAAGAGCACAUUGGGCAGGAAAAAGGUUUAAUUUCUUGGAGAGUGUAAGAGGAGCAAAAGACUAAAAUACAUCAACCGGUAACAUCCGUUGAAAAUUAAAUGGCACCUAACUUGACAACUUAGAGAAAGCUACCACACAAAUCUCUUUUCCUAAUAUUCCUGCAAACUCUUACAAAACCACUCCUGGGCUCAGCUCUCAAUUAGACUAGGAAGUGAGCGAAUUGGUGCUUGCGUAUCUGCAAUGGCCCAGACGCCCUCCCAACACGACAGAAUUCCUCUUUGAAGUAUGAAGCAUGCAGGGCUCAGCCGUAACAAACUGCAAGCUGUCCAGCCAUCCCUGACAGACCAAGACAAGAAGAUCAAGCUAUCUGUAUCUCCUGCUUCUCUAAUCACGAGGGACAGAAAUGUUGGAGGAGAUAAUGCCGAUGGAUGGCGGCAUCGCGAGGAAAGAACUUGAAGCUUCUCAGGUAAGGAUCACUUUCCUGGAGAAGGAAAAUUUGGAGCUGAGGCAAGAAGUAGCCCGCUUGCGAGCACAAGUGACUACGCUAAAAGCCCAUGAUGUCGAGAGAAAAUCCAUGCUCUGGAAGAAGUUGCAGAGUUCCACGGACGCCAAGACACAGACAGAUCUCAGCACAAGCAGACUUUCGCGGUGGAGAAGCCAGAGCCUAAUCUCGCAUUGGAGGAGAAGAAAGGCGCGAGAGAAGAUCUCAUAAAACCUGCAGCUCAUAGAGAAAGACAAGCCAAAUCAGUCAAAUUAGCAUUGCCGGGGCCAAUACCUGAAUCAAAUGGAAAUAGGUUGUUGCAUGCCCCUGCAGCGCGCGCCGCCCCUCCCCCACCACCUCUACCAUCAAAACUUCUUGGUAGAUCAAAAACUCUCCGUCGCGCUCCAGAGGUGGUGGAAUUCUACCGAGCGCUUAUGAAAAGAGAUGCCCAGAAGGAGAACAGAGCUGGUUCAACAGGACAUCCGCCAAUCCUGAGUCCGAAGAACAUGAUAGGAGAGAUCGAAAAUCGAUCACUUACCUCUUAAAUGUGAGCGCAGUAAUAUCCAUUUUCAUCACCUUUUUAUAUCAGGAAGUUGGCAUGACUCCUAUUAACUGCACUUGAGCACAACUCAAUUGGAUUUUCAUUGUUGUUUUAUCAAAAUUUACAAAUCUUGAUUUUUUUUCUCGAGGAUUUUAUUUUUUACUAUACUACACGUCAUGUCCUCGUGAUGCAGAUAAAAUCAGAUGUGGAAACGCAUGGGGAACUAGUGAGUUUCUUGUCAAGGGAAGUGCAGGAUGCAGCAUUUGCAGAUAUUUCCGAAGUGGAAUCAUUUGUAAAAUGGCUAGAUGGGCAAUUAUCCUGCCUGGUCGAUGAGAGGGCUGUUUUGAAGCAUUUUCCGCAGUGGCCAGAAAGAAAAGCAGAUGCACUGAGGGAAGCCGCUUGCAGCUACAGAGAAAUGAAAAACCUGGAAUCUGAAGUCUCGUCAUACAAGGACAAUCCAAAACAGCAGUUGACAGAGUCCCUGAGAAAAAUGCAGGCAUUGCAAGACAGGCGAGAAUGUACACACGCUUGUGGUUACUACAAUCUGCUAGUUUUUUAGAUCCCUUGAAAUUAUAACAUGUUUAAACUGAUCCGAGCGCAGAUUGGAGAAAAGCACUAACAACAUUGAAAGGGUGAGAGAAGGCAUGAGCAAGAAAUACAGAGAAUUGCACAUUCCUUGGGCAUGGAUGCUGGAUACAGGAGUGAUUGGACAGGUAGGUGGAAACACCGGAGAGCUUCAGUGAAAAGCUUUUAGUAGGCACAGUAGUCAUAUUACUACUAAUCUUUCUUCAGCUGAUAAUGACAUUUCAACGGCUGAAUAAUAAAAAUACAAAAAUUACAUACCGCCUAAUUAAGACUAGCGAACUCCUGCCACUUGACUUGACAAUCAGUAAUUAAUUAAAGACGACACGAAAGCCGUUUGCAAUUUGCCCUUCUUUUAACCCCAUUCCCAUCGCUUUUCUCUAAGCCACGGGGCUUCUGAAUCCUAAUUUACAAAACAUGUGAUUAUUAAUGAUUGAUUGUUUAACAAUAUAGUCUGUAUUCUUUGCAGCUAAAGUUCAGCUCAGUGGCGCUGGCAAGGCAGUACAUGAAGAGGAUAGCUAAGGAACUGGAAAGCAGUGGAUCCGUCCAAGACGACGACCUACUAAUCCAAGGGGUUCGCUUUGCCUAUCGAGUUCACCAGGUGUGCGGGGCUGUCUGUUUAGUGUUUAUAUACCCAUCCUUAACCUCCCAAGAUUCCCAUGGAAUGGAACUUCCCCUUGCUAAACUUUUGCUGGGACUUUCUGAUUGAUUUUACCUUCCGCCACGUUCUAUUCUACACUAACAAUCAAAAUCGUCCAGUUUGCAGGCGGUUUUGAUGCAGAUACUCUGCUCGCAUUUGAAGAACUACGGAGAUUUUGUACGACCGGCCCAACACAAUAGUGAAAUUACAAGCUUCUCUAUAAAUGCAGAUUACAACCGAAUGUCGCUAGAUAAUGCGAGAUUUUUUGUGCAAGUGUGAUCCAUUUACAGAACGAUUGAAAGCGCUGUAUCACUACCAUCUCGCAAGUGCAAUCCAUUUGCAGAAUUACUACCACUGGUGCUACUCUCUCCGCUUAGAGACUUCACUAGGACCAUGUAAAAUAUUGACGCGAAGUUCUUAAACAAACGCUAUUAAAUUUUUUUUUUUUUUUUGGUACCUCAUUAUUAUCUUCUUUGCUCCACCAAGCCCAAAAGUUUAAUCGAAUGAUUUUGGCAUUUACUCCGUAUUCUGAACCAACAAAUCAUCGUACCCCUGCUACUAAUUUUCUAGUGCUUCCCAUCCGAAAUAACAUACUAGACGUAUUUCCCAUCCAAAAAGCUAUAUAUGAGGAUCCAUGAUGGCCUUGGAAAAACCAACCAACCAACCAAAAAACAAUUUCUUCUACCAUACGAGGAGAGAUUCGCAGUAAAUGUAGUAUUGUUGGAUGUCUAUGUGAUAUGAAACUAGAAACUGGAAGAUUUGCUCCAUUUCAAUGCUCAUCUGCAAGCCACAAUCACCAAUGCAUUACUAUGAAAUAUUCCAUGGACAUUCAGACUUUAAAAUGGACUACAAUGGAGCUAUCCAGUGCAUUCAUGUAUGAUGCAAAAACUGCGACUCAAGUUCUUUUAGCACCAGCAUGGCAACAUACAUCAAAAAUGUAUUAGAGUACAACCCCCAACAAAAGUUACGACGAGUGCACCAAGGAAAAUUAACUAAGCAGAAACUUUGAUAGGGUGAGCUUUAGAAAACCAAAACGGCACACGCUGAACAAUUUCCAGGCAUCUUAGAACAUCCAACUUCUCUCAGCUUUAGCAGAAUAAAAUGCCUCGUCAGAGGGCCAUACAUGCCCAUAAUCAAUGCCAGAAACCUAGAAGUAUACAAAUAUUUCAUCAACUUUUUCCUGGCAAAGGUCGUGUUUGCAGUUAUAGAUGUCUACUUUGAUAUCCUUCUAGGUAUGAUGAACUGCUUGAUCACCUUCAAAUGAAUCCUAUAUAUGCAACGGGCACAAGAAUCAGGCCAUAACCCUGACCUAAACAGAGAAUUCCACCCAGUGGGAUUGUGUCAAAAUCCGUGAACACGGAAAUGGUCUUCCUGGGAGUUGCAUUACACCCCGGAAAUUGCACUCAAAAGUUUUAUUUCGUUUAGUUUGACCCCUGUCCAGAUUAGCCAGUCAAGAGUCACAAGCAUUCAACCCAAUUGCAAACACACCACCGUCCAACCAAAUCACAAAAAACUAAACAAAACUAAUAAGCCGAAAUCAACACGAAAAUUGAUCUGCCCAAUAUCACAAAACCACUUCCUAAGUCGGACUUUCACAUAAUAAUCCCAGUUGCAGAAUUACAUCAAGUACCAUAAAAACUAAAACUUGCAGUUUCAAGUUACAAGUUUAAGUCUCAACACAUCAUCAUGACACAACACGAUAUCAAUUAAAGAAAGAUUAAAAUUGCACGUUUAUUUGUUGCGGGGUUACUUCGAUCUCUGCCUCAUCUUUCGGCGCUUUCUCUUCAACCUCCUCAUCCGCUUCUUCUUCCACUGUAUAUGCAAAAUAAAAAUCACAACAAAUCAAUAUCCUUCACUUCCCAGCUAAAAAAUCAAACCAGCAUAUGAGCAAUAUAAAUUAAUGAUGAGUUGAUUAACAACCUUAGCUCUCAUUGUUGCAGAUUGACGAGGAUUUCCUUACUUCUUCUUCCCCUUCCUUUUUUCUUCUUUUGCAGUCCAAACAAUUUGCUGCGGCGGGGAGCAGAGUAAAAUAAUGAGGGGUGGGGACGAUGCGAUAGGAGCUUAUAAAGGAAACCCUAGACCAAAAACUGCGUAUUAAGAGUAGUUUAUGAAUUGGGCGGCGAACUUGGGAUGGGUCCCUUGUAAGUGAAGUUUGGACCAAAUCCGACUCUCGCUGUUUUGACGAAGCGAUCCGAAUACUUGAACCCGGCAUCCAAAGCCUGUACGGGCUAAUUACGUUUUUCCACGCCAAUACUUUAUAUAAAAUUAUAAAUUUUUUUUUUUCAGAGACGACAAUUAUUAUAUAACCUAUUUAUCCUGAACUACAGGAGAGAAAGAACCUAAAAAGCCUUUGUGUUAGGGACUAAUAAAUUACAGACCUUAUUAGAUCAAGAGAAUGAUUUGAUAUAAUUCUUGAAUUUUUUUUGCUGCAGGUGAGAUAUGAACCCCCACCUACAGCCCAAACAAGGUCUUAAGACCCACCUAAAAUCAACCUUGGUGUUAUUUUGCGCCCUAUUUUUUUUUUUUGGGGUUCGAAUGUUUUGCGCCGUAAUGUGUCUGAGAAAUUGGAGGUUACUCCUAAUAAAAAACGUAGAAGAAAUUUUGUGUGUUGCUUUGCGCGACCAAAUAUUAAUUAAUUCUCAUUCAUCAAUCAAAUGUAUCCAGACGUUGUCCCCACACAAUACAGGGAGUUAUGGUUUUUGUUCAUUUCUUAUAUUAUCAAAACAUUCCUUUUUUUUCCCCUAGGAUCUCUCUUAAACAAAAAAAAAAAAAAAAAAGAGAAAUAGAUCGAGAAUGAGACAAGAUUCUCAAGAACCAUCAAUUAUUUUUAUACCAGAGAAUUCAUGACUGAAGUCUUACGGUUCAAAAUUUGCAUAAUGGAUAUUAUAAUUUGGAGGAACUUUAGAAUUGUUAUAGAACUAUGUAGAGAUAUACGACGCUAAUCUGAAUUCACUAAUGUGUGUGCAAUUAAUAGGAAAAAUAUUUAUAAAAUUUUUUAUUAUAUUUAUUGAAAUCAUUUUGAGUUCAUUAGACGAUAGCUUUAAUGAGUAGUUUAUUAUGGGUGAUGCUGAAUAGAAAGAUGUUUUCAACAAUCAUAGCAAUUAUCGUGAGUUUACAAAAGAUGCGACAAUAGUUAUCAUCUUUAACAAUGUACGUGAAAGUUUGUAAAAUUGUUUGAUCUUAACAUGAAGGAACAAUUUUGGUAAAAUAAAAGGUAACAGCAAAAGUUUACACCAAACCAAACCCUAGCUCCUACUUUAUAGAGUAUUAUUUGAAAUAAUUACUGUGCACUUUUUGUAAUGUGAUGUAUGUGAAAUAAAAAGGUAAUUAAAAAUAUAAAAAGGUAAGUUGAGAAAUGUGUUUAUGAUACAAACGAAAUAUUAUUUGAGAUAUUUGUACUAUCCAAACACUCCCGCUAAUAUUCAUUGGUUUACUUAUAAGGGAUAUAAUCAAAUUAAAUUGAACUCAAAUUUCGCUAUACUCGAGUUUGAAUUUAACCCCAAUAAUUACAUUUCAACUUCAAGCUCAAACUCAUUGAAUUUUUUAAUUUCAUAACUUGAGCUCGUCUAGAGUCAUUCGAACUCAAGUCGAGCAAAUUGCAAAUCCAUACACAAUUGUGUCAAUUUGCACGUAAUACUUUGGACUCAAAUCUAAAACAACAAUGAAGAGAGUGACGAAGAGAUAUGGGGAGAAGCAGUGAUAAUAAAGAGGCAUUUAAGAGCUAGAGAUGGGAGCAGAACAGUGAUGAUAGAGAGGUAUUUAAGAGCUAGACAUGGGAGUAGAAGAGUGAACAGGCACAUGGAAAGAUAAUUGAGCCAGGGAAGGGGCAAAAGAGUGAGUGAGCAAGCAGAUGGAAAGACAAUUGAGGGAUUUCUAGGGUGGUGACAACUCAAAAUGAUGGAAUUAAAGUGAGAGAGAAGAGUUGAACAUGAUGAGUGGUGUGUGUACUACUUAAGGUUCUCAAUGUAGCUUGAAAGUCAGCAUGCCUUUUAAGUUGGACUGUGAAUUUCCCUUAGUAGCGUGUGUGUGUGUGUGUUAUUUGCGGUUGUUGGUAGAUAAGAAAAAUCAUGGAGUGGUAAAAGCCGUUGGUGAGCCUUUGACAAUAGUCUUGGUGUUUUCCUUCCCCCUUUCCCUCUAUCCCACAUCGAUUUUGAGUGGUGUGUGUGUGUACUAUUUAAGGUUUUCAAUGUAGCCUGAAAGUCAGCAUGUCUUUUGGGUUGGGUUGUGGGUUUACCUUAGGUAGUGGUGUGUGUGUUAUUUGCGGUUGUUGGUGAGUUGAACAUGAAAGUAUAUAAUUUUGGAAAGGAUUUACAAAUAAUUUUAUAAAUAAAAAAAAAAAAUAUAUAUAUAUAUAAAAUAAGCUGAUAUUUACAAAGUUCGAUAAGAAGGAUGAAAAAAAAUUAUAGCUAGAACUCGACUCAAUUUCUUAAUGAUGAUGCUCUACUUGAGAUCAGUUUGUGUACGAGCCAACCAAGAAUGUCUUGAAUGGAAUGCCAAGUUAGUUGUGACUGCGUUGUAGGUGGGUUCACUUGCACAUCCAUUUUGUCAUUGUCAGUGAAUAAAUUGCCCCAUCUGGAGCGAGUAGUUGAAGGUUGAGUUCUUGACCAUAAUGGCUAGUUUGGAUGGAACUUAAGAUUUGAAUAGAAAAUAUAAGAAAGGAAGGAAAAGUUGACUUGUCAAUAGAUUUUCGACAGAUAGAAAAGAAAAAUUCGAAUGAAAAACGAAAAAAAAUUAUUGAAAGCCUACUAAUACUUGUUAAAUAAUCAUGUUGCCCUGUUAGAAUGACUUCCUUUCUUUCACAAUUUAUUGUAAGUUUUCUCGUACUUUCCUUUCUGUCCUAAACUCACAAACCAGCUGAAAAGAGAAAUGCAAAACGCAAAAUAAAGGGAAAAAGAAAAGAAAAGAGGAGAGCGAAGAAAUCAACGCCAAACCGUCGCUAUCCUGUACCAAUCCUUCAUCAUCCUAUUCCCUUCUUAUCGAAAACGCAACAGAACGCACGCUCGUCUCGCCUUUGCACUUUGCAGAGGAAACCAAACCAAAAAAAAAAAAAAAAAAAACCAGCAAAUUUUGCAGCCAUAUAUAAACAGCUUGGAACUUUUCAAUAUCCUCAUCUUUCAAAUCUCAGAUUCUCAAUCCUCCUCCACCCUAUCCACUAUACCAACAGGCCCAACUCCAACGAGCAACAACAACAACUGGUAGCAGUGGUAGUUUCUUUACUUUGCAUAUUCCUAUUCUCAGCUCAGAGCCAAUACCAGUAAUAAAUUCAACGGUAGAUGAAACCACCACCUCCGUAGUUGAAUCCCUACAAAUUUUUCACACCAGUAAGAAUUAGAGAAGUAAAGAAGAUAAUGGGGACUGGUUCAUCAAAAACCCGGACUGCAGCAGCUCCCAUGGCAGCGACGACAGGGAAGACCAAGGCGGGGGCCAGCUCU
This 38445-nucleotide long non-coding RNA is filed under the name Coffea arabica (coffee). RNAcentral describes it as "long non-coding RNA (CARA_LNC000350)". The record is from RNAcentral. Lineage: Eukaryota; Viridiplantae; Streptophyta; Magnoliopsida; Gentianales; Rubiaceae.